GCCAGGGAUGAUAAUGACAGUACCUGGUAAAGAAACCCCGGCUAACUCCGUGCCAGCAGCCGCGGUAAUACGGAGGGGGUUAGCGUUGUUCGGAAUUACUGGGCGUAAAGCGCGCGUAGGCGGGUUGUUAAGUUAGAGGUGAAAUCCCGGGGCUCAACCCCGGAACUGCCUUUAAUACUGGCAACCUAGAGUUCGAGAGAGGUGAGUGGAAUUCCGAGUGUAGAGGUGAAAUUCGUAGAUAUUCGGAGGAACACCAGUGGCGAAGGCGGCUCACUGGCUCGAUACUGACGCUGAGGUGCGAAAGUGUGGGGAGCAAACAGGAUUAGAUACCCUGGUAGUCCACACCGUAAACGAUGAAUGCCAGUCGUCGGGUAGCAUGCUAUUCGGUGACACACCUAACGGAUUAGCAUUCCGCCUGGGGAGUACGGUCGCAAGAUUAAAACUCAA
RNAcentral lists this ribosomal RNA (447 nucleotides) under Ruegeria sp. DYW9. RNAcentral describes it as "bacterial SSU rRNA". It matches the Rfam family "Bacterial small subunit ribosomal RNA", at positions 438 to 904 of the family's 1533-position model. Lineage: Bacteria; Pseudomonadati; Pseudomonadota; Alphaproteobacteria; Rhodobacterales; Roseobacteraceae. The record is from RNAcentral.